This 323-nucleotide ribosomal RNA is filed under the name uncultured bacterium. RNAcentral describes it as "bacterial SSU rRNA". It matches the Rfam family "Bacterial small subunit ribosomal RNA", at positions 28 to 334 of the family's 1533-position model. The record is from RNAcentral.
GAUGAACGCUGGCGGCGUGCUUAACACAUGCAAGUCGAACGGAACUGUUUGAAUGAAGUUUUCGGAUGGAUUUUAAACAGUUUAGUGGCGGACGGGUGAGUAACGCGUGGGUAACCUGCCUCACACUGGGGGAUAACAGUUGGAAACGACUGCUAAUACCGCAUAAUGCUUUUGAGCGGCAUCGCUUGAAAGCCAAAGAUUUAUCGCUGAAAGAUGGUCUCGCGUCUGAUUAGCUAGUUGGUGAGGUAACGGCUCACCAAGGCGACGAUCAGUAGCCGGUCUGAGAGGAUGAACGGCCACAUUGGGACUGAGAUACGGCCCAG